This is an RNA transcript of Magnolia sinica, 2293 nucleotides long. It is a transcript of the gene named F-box/kelch-repeat protein At1g55270, with no coding region annotated. Lineage: Eukaryota; Viridiplantae; Streptophyta; Magnoliopsida; Magnoliales; Magnoliaceae. The transcript has 3 exons. The record is from RefSeq and is a predicted model, not a curated record.
UUAAAAAAUAAAAAUAAAAAACAGUUGCAAUUGUUAGGUUGCGCCUUUGAGGUGAUGGGCCCUAUCCUUCACCCCCAACAUUAAUGUGAAAGGCAAGAGGACCUCUCUCUCUCUCUCUCUCUUCUCUCUCUAUUUGAAGGGUUUUCUGAUAUGGGUUUUUGAUUCUGGAGGUGGGUUUUGAAGAUGGAGAGAUGUGGAGGUCCGGUCUGCUGUCGGCAUUGAUUGAUGGUGCGGAUUAGGGUUUGUGAUCUCGAUCUGUAGCGGCUACAGGCUGGUAUCUUCUGGGCUCUCUGACUUGUGUUUUUUUAAUUCUGGAGGUGGGUUUUGGGUCGCGAUCGGUUGGGCGGAUUCGAGCGGAUUAGGGUUUGUGAUCUUGAGUCGUGGAGGUCACGGCGGCAGACUCUGUGGGUUUUUUUGACAUGGGUUUUUGAUUCUGACAUGGGGCGUCUUUGAAUGAAUAGAGAUGGAAAGAGGAAUUCAACCUCCUUUGGUUGAUACCACAGCAUGUUUCUGUAGAGUUGAUGUGGGCCUGAAAACCGUUUCUGGGGCUAGGAAAUUUGUCCCAGGAUCGAAGCUCUGCCUUCAGCCUGAUAUAAAACCAUCCAUCCAUCCAGUAAGGCACAAGACAGCCGGGGGCGACAGGACCCGGAGUCAGUCUCCUUUGUUGCCUGGCCUUCCUGAUGACCUGGCCAUUGCUUGCUUGAUCCGGGUCCCACGUGUCGAGCAUAGGAAGCUACGUCUAGUCUGCAAGAGAUGGUACCGGUUUCUGGCGGGGAACUUCUUUUACUCUCUCCGUAAGAGCCUCGGAAUCGCAGAGGAAUGGAUCUAUGUCAUAAAAAGAGACCGGGAUGGUCGGAUUUCAUGGCAUGCCUUCGAUCCCAUAUACCAGCUUUGGCAGCCCUUACCGCCUGUUCCUGGAGAGUAUUCCGAAGCCCUUGGUUUUGGGUGUGCCGUUCUCAGUGGCUGCCACCUCUAUCUAUUUGGUGGCAAAGACCCACUUAAAGGAUCAAUGAGACGGGUCAUCUUUUACAGUGCAAGGACGAAUAAAUGGCAUCGUGCUCCUGAUAUGCUACGGCGACGGCAUUUCUUUGGCUCGUGUGUAAUCAACAACUGCUUGUAUGUUGCGGGUGGGGAGAGUGAAGGAGUACAUAGGUCCUUGAGGUCUGCGGAGGUCUACGACCCAAACAGGAACCGGUGGUCUUUCGUUGCAGAUAUGAGCACUGCGAUGGUGCCAUUUAUCGGGGUCGUUUACGAUGGGAGGUGGUUUUUAAAAGGUCUUGGUGCUCAUCGACAGGUCCUGAGCGAGGUCUAUAUCCCCGAGACUGACAGCUGGUAUCCGGUCUAUGACGGGAUGGUCACUGGUUGGCGGAACCCAAGUGUCUCCCUGAAUGGGAAGCUCUAUGCACUGGAUUGCAAGGAUGGUUGCAAGCUCAGAGUCUAUGACGAGGUAUCUGAUUCUUGGAACAAACACAUUGACAGCAAGCUGCACUUGGGCAACUCACGGGCAUCAGAAGCGGCAGCCCUCAUCCCUCUCAACGGGAAGCUGUGCAUCAUCCGCAACAACAUGAGCAUUUCGCUAGUGGACGUCUCGAAAUCUGACGGUGUAAGGAGCGGUGAUCAGCUUUGGGAGACAAUCGCAGGAAAAGGCCAAUCCAAGACAUUCGUUACAAAUUUAUGGGCGAGCCUGGCUGGUCGGAACCGUUUGAGAAGUCACAUCGUUCACUGUCAGGUUCUUCAAGCAUAACAUCAGCUCAUGGGGUGAUUUGGGCAGGUAUGUGACAAGCUCUCUCAAUCCAAUCGUGGAAACGAGGGAAAUGGCCUGAGUUGGGUUAAUGAUGAUCAACGGGCUUUGGACUGUCAUGAGAAGAAAAAAGAUCUUUGAACUUAUCCGACGGCAGCCAAUCGCAGCCAUUUGCCAACUUAUUUCGUCUUGCCGCAAAUGUCUUGUUGUGUUUGUUGUGGGGCAUGUUUGGGUUGCCAAUGCACAGUUGAAGUAAAUUGCAAUCAAAUCCUUUAGGCCAGUCUCUAACCAUGGAUGUAUUGAAUUGGAUGAGGAAGGUAUCAGCCAUGGAUUCAUCAUCUCAUUCCUCUCAUACGAUGCAAAAAUCCAUAUUGCAAAAUGGACAUAGUAUAAAAAUAUAUCAUUUGUAUUAGCUUGUUUUGUUGAUACAAUCAUACCAAAGAUGAUAAUCUCAGAAGGUAUUGUACCAUACAAGGCAAUGCAUCAUGAUAAAUUAAUAUAGUGAUUACAGUAUGUACUGUAGGGGAGUGAUCAUAUGCAUUCGGAUUACCA